GCGGCGCUGACCAUAGAGGAGCUCAGCUGACUCAUAAUCACUAGGUUCCAGGUUCGAGCCCCGGGCGCCGCG
This 72-nucleotide transfer RNA is filed under the name Chloroflexi bacterium B3_Chlor. RNAcentral's name for it is "tRNA-Met". The record is from RNAcentral. Lineage: Bacteria; Bacillati; Chloroflexota.